RNAcentral lists this long non-coding RNA (462 nucleotides) under Trifolium pratense (red clover). Its description in RNAcentral is "long non-coding RNA (TPRA_LNC007979)". The record is from RNAcentral. Lineage: Eukaryota; Viridiplantae; Streptophyta; Magnoliopsida; Fabales; Fabaceae.
AAGACACUCUGAGGUGAGCCAUUCUCAGAGGCCUGACAUAUCCGUCGUCGAUGAUUAUACGCAUCGGCACGGCAUGAAGCUCACAAUUAUAACAUGAUUGGAUUCAUCGAAUCCCAUAACGUGGUACAAAGUAUCCACCAUGAUUGACUGACUAACUAAACUGUCCUGAGUUUUUAUCCUGCCCAUGAUUCCCUUCCGGGGCAUAACUAACAUAUUCUAAUUUCUUGAUUAUCGUAUACUUAACGUGUAAUUAACAUUGUAAUUAUGUAUUUUACUUGCAGUAGUCACAUAAAAUAGCUAGAAGGCUUAGGGAUUCAAAAAGAGUGAGAUUGUUGUGUUUAAAAAAAAUUCUGCAGGUACUGACCUGCUACUUUGUUUUCAUAUUUUUCACCAAAUUUUUGCAGCAACUCUCACCACAAUCCUUUUUCCUACUAGCCAUGAAUAUUACAGCAUAUAAUACAU